This 468-nucleotide ribosomal RNA is filed under the name uncultured bacterium. Its description in RNAcentral is "partial 16S ribosomal RNA". It matches the Rfam family "Bacterial small subunit ribosomal RNA", at positions 28 to 507 of the family's 1533-position model. The record is from RNAcentral.
GAUGAACGCUGGCGGCGUGCUUAACACAUGCAAGUCGAACGGUGAAGGCGGAGCUUGCUCUGCUGGAUCAGUGGCGAACGGGUGAGUAACACGUGAGCAAUCUGCCCCUGACUCUGGGAUAAGCGCUGGAAACGGCGUCUAAUACUGGAUACGAGCUGCGAAGGCAUCUUCAGCAGCUGGGAAGAAUUUCGGUCAGGGAUGAGCUCGCGGCCUAUCAGCUUGUUGGUGAGGUAAUGGCUCACCAAGGCUUCGACGGGUAGCCGGCCUGAGAGGGUGACCGGCCACACUGGGACUGAGACACGGCCCAGACUCCUACGGGAGGCAGCAGUGGGGAAUAUUGCACAAUGGGCGAAAGCCUGAUGCAGCAACGCCGCGUGAGGGACGACGGCCUUCGGGUUGUAAACCUCUUUUAGCAGGGAAGAAGCGAAAGUGACGGUACCUGCAGAAAAAGCGCCGGCUAACUACGUG